CAGGCGGUGUCGCAUGCGCUGUGGUAGGGAUUUGGGCGCUGCCUGGUUUGCCACGCAGGUUCUUGCGGUUGGGGGUCUUGUUCUGACACCGAGGGCGCCGGACGGGGGAGUCUGUCAGUCUCGGCGGCAGGGGGGCAUCUUGGGGCCCACAUGAGCCAAUGGCUUCAAUGCCCGCCGCGGCCAGGUCCACGGACCCCUCUUUUGCGGACCUUCUUCAGCCAAGAGGAAGGGCAGAAACCACGUUCCCGAAAGGUCCGCACGUAAUGAAUUUGAUGACUUCAGUUGUAUGAGAACUAAAAAUAAACCGUGAAGUGAAAGAACUGAAUCUAAACGAUUUCCGUCAGCAUAGUUUGGAGAAGAAUCUUGCUCCAGAAGAAUGUUUUCACCCUUGGAUGUUUUUCUAGCAAAAUCUGAGAGCAGAAUGAAGAACUUGGACUGAUUAUUGAUGUAACACACACUCGCCACUAAUACAAACCAGAGGCCUACCUCGGAGAUCUUGCGGGUUCUGUUCCAGGUCACUGAAUAAAGUGAAUAUCGCAAUAUAAACAUUCCCUUUUAUGCCCCCCCUCCCCUGGCUCACCCCCUCCAGGUGCCCUACAAGCCUCCCAAGAUGCGACUCUGGACCCUUGGGCACAUACGUCCUGCCCUCGUGGAGCAGCGACCCAGUGCUCACGUGCUCCCACCGCUCUCCUGCCCUGUGAUCGACGCUUCCAGUGGAUUUUUCUUGUGUGCUUUUGGAUGGAUGGCGAUGUUUAGAGAGGGCAGAAACAGACCAGGUGGAUUGCGGGAGGCCCUGGCAGGCGCCUCAAGUUAAUGUUUAUGAAGAGAUGUUUU
RNAcentral lists this long non-coding RNA (834 nucleotides) under Equus asinus (donkey). Its description in RNAcentral is "lncRNA (ENSEASG00005033180.1)". Lineage: Eukaryota; Metazoa; Chordata; Mammalia; Perissodactyla; Equidae. The record is from RNAcentral.